GACGAACGCUGGCGGCGUGCUUAACACAUGCAAGUCGAACGGAAAGGCCCUGCUUUUGUGGGGUGCUCGAGUGGCGAACGGGUGAGUAACACGUGAGUAACCUGCCCUUGACUUUGGGAUAACUUCAGGAAACUGGGGAUAAUACCGGAUAGGAGCUCCUGCUGCCAGGUGGGGGUGGGAAAGUUUCGGCGGUUGGGGAUGGACUGGCGGCCUAUGAGCUUGUUGGUGGGGGAGUGGCUUACCAAGGCUUUGACGGGUAGCCGGCCUGGGAGGGUGACCGGCCACAUUGGAACUGAGAUACGGCCCAGACUCCUACGGGAGGGAGCAGUGGGGAAUAGUGCACAAUGGGCGGAAGCCUGAUGCAGCAACGCCGCGUGCGGGAUGACGGCCUUCGGGUUGUAAACCGCUUUCGCCUGUGACGAAGCGUGAGUGACGGUAAUUGGUAAAGAAGCACCGGCUAACUACGUG
RNAcentral lists this ribosomal RNA (468 nucleotides) under uncultured bacterium. RNAcentral's name for it is "partial 16S ribosomal RNA". It matches the Rfam family "Bacterial small subunit ribosomal RNA", at positions 28 to 507 of the family's 1533-position model. The record is from RNAcentral.